This 2918-nucleotide ribosomal RNA is filed under the name Aeromonas veronii. Its description in RNAcentral is "23S ribosomal RNA". It matches the Rfam family "Bacterial large subunit ribosomal RNA". Lineage: Bacteria; Pseudomonadati; Pseudomonadota; Gammaproteobacteria; Aeromonadales; Aeromonadaceae. The record is from RNAcentral.
GUUGUAUGGUUAAGUGACUAAGCGUACAUGGUGGAUGCCUUGGCAGUCAGAGGCGAUGAAGGACGUACUAACCUGCGAUAAGCUGUGAGAAGUCGGUAAGAGACGCUAUUACUCACAGAUUUCCGAAUGGGGAAACCCACCCGAGAUAACUCGGGUAUCUGUUACUGAAUACAUAGGUAACAGAGGCGAACCGGGAGAACUGAAACAUCUAAGUACCCCGAGGAAAAGAAAUCAACCGAGAUUCCCUCAGUAGCGGCGAGCGAACGGGGAUUAGCCCUUAAGCAUCUUGGAAGUUAGUGGAACGGUCCUGGAAAGGCCGGCGAUACAGGGUGAUAGCCCCGUACACGAAAACAACCUUGAUGUGAAAUCGAGUAGGGCGGGACACGUGACAUCCUGUCUGAAUAUGGGGGGACCAUCCUCCAAGGCUAAAUACUCCUGACUGACCGAUAGUGAACCAGUACCGUGAGGGAAAGGCGAAAAGAACCCCUGUGAGGGGAGUGAAAUAGAACCUGAAACCGUGUACGUACAAGCAGUGGGAGCCCUUCGGGGUGACUGCGUACCUUUUGUAUAAUGGGUCAGCGACUUACAUUUUGUAGCGAGGUUAACCGUAUAGGGGAGCCGUAGGGAAACCGAGUCUUAACUGGGCGUCUAGUUGCAAGGUGUAGACCCGAAACCGGGUGAUCUAGCCAUGGGCAGGUUGAAGGUUGAGUAACAUCAACUGGAGGACCGAACCCACUAACGUUGCAAAGUUAGGGGAUGACCUGUGGCUGGGGGUGAAAGGCCAAUCAAACUCGGAGAUAGCUGGUUCUCCCCGAAAGCUAUUUAGGUAGCGCCUCGGACGAAUACUACUGGGGUAGAGCACUGUUUGGGCUAGGGGGUCAUCCCGACUUACCAACCCCAUGCAAACUCCGAAUACCAGUAAGUAAUAUCCGGGAGACACACGGCGGGUGCUAACGUCCGUCGUGAAGAGGGAAACAACCCAGACCGCCGGCUAAGGUCCCAAAGUUCUGGUUAAGUGGGAAACGAUGUGGGAAGGCUCAGACAGCUAGGAUGUUGGCUUAGAAGCAGCCAUCAUUUAAAGAAAGCGUAAUAGCUCACUAGUCGAGUCGGCCUGCGCGGAAGAUGUAACGGGGCUCAAACCAGGCACCGAAGCCGCGGAUUCACACUUAUGUGUGAGUGGUAGGGGAGCGUUCUGUAAGUCUGCGAAGGUGUAUCGAGAGGUAUGCUGGAGAUAUCAGAAGUGCGAAUGCUGACGUAAGUAACGAUAAAGGGGGUGAAAAGCCUCCUCGCCGGAAGACCAAGGGUUCCUGUCCAACGUUAAUCGGGGCAGGGUGAGUCGACCCCUAAGGCGAGGCCGAAAGGCGUAGUCGAUGGGAAGCAGGUUAAUAUUCCUGCACGACUUGUAAUUGCGAUGGGGGGACGGAGAAGGCUAGGUGGGCCAGGCGACGGUUGUCCUGGUGAAAGUGCGUAGGUGGUGUUUCUAGGCAAAUCCGGAGACACAACACUGAGACACGAGACGAACACACUACGGUGUGGAAGCCAUUGAUGCCCUGCUUCCAGGAAAAGCCUCUAAGCUUCAGAUUACAAGUCAUCGUACCCCAAACCGACACAGGUGGUCGGGUAGAGAAUACCAAGGCGCUUGAGAGAACUCGGGUGAAGGAACUAGGCAAAAUAGAACCGUAACUUCGGGAGAAGGUUCGCUCUUGACAGUGAAGUCCCUUGCGGAUGGAGCAGUUGGGAGUCGCAGUGACCAGAUGGCUGGGACUGUUUAUCAAAAACACAGCACUCUGCAAACACGAAAGUGGACGUAUAGGGUGUGACACCUGCCCGGUGCCGGAAGGUUAAUUGAUGGGGUUAGCGCAAGCGAAGCUCUUGAUCGAAGCCCCGGUAAACGGCGGCCGUAACUAUAACGGUCCUAAGGUAGCGAAAUUCCUUGUCGGGUAAGUUCCGACCUGCACGAAUGGUGUAACCAUGGCCAUGCUGUCUCCACCCGAGACUCAGUGAAAUCGAAUUCGCCGUGAAGAUGCGGUGUACCCGCGGCUAGACGGAAAGACCCCGUGAACCUUUACUACAGCUUGGCACUGAACAUUGAACCUACAUGUGUAGGAUAGGUGGGAGGCUUUGAAGGCGUGACGCCAGUUGCGCUGGAGCCGUCCUUGAAAUACCACCCUUGUAUGUUUGAUGUUCUAACGCAGGGCCCUGAAUCGGGCUCGCGGACAGUGCCUGGUGGGUAGUUUGACUGGGGCGGUCUCCUCCCAAAGAGUAACGGAGGAGCACGAAGGUUGGCUAAUCCUGGUCGGACAUCAGGAGGUUAGUGCAAUGGCAUAAGCCAGCUUAACUGCGAGACGGACAGGUCGAGCAGGUACGAAAGUAGGUCAUAGUGAUCCGGUGGUUCUGAAUGGAAGGGCCAUCGCUCAACGGAUAAAAGGUACUCCGGGGAUAACAGGCUGAUACCGCCCAAGAGUUCAUAUCGACGGCGGUGUUUGGCACCUCGAUGUCGGCUCAUCACAUCCUGGGGCUGAAGUCGGUCCCAAGGGUAUGGCUGUUCGCCAUUUAAAGUGGUACGCGAGCUGGGUUCAGAACGUCGUGAGACAGUUCGGUCCCUAUCUGCCGUGGGCGUUGGAUGAUUGAAGGGAGUUGCUCCUAGUACGAGAGGACCGGAGUGAACGAACCUCUGGUGUUCGGGUUGUCACGCCAGUGGCACUGCCCGGUAGCUAAGUUCGGAAUCGAUAACCGCUGAAAGCAUCUAAGCGGGAAGCGAGCCCUGAGAUGAGUCAUCCCUGACCCCUUGAGGGUCCUAAAGGGCCGUUGGAGACCACAACGUUGAUAGGCGGGGUGUGUAAGUGCAGCGAUGCAUUGAGCUAACCCGUACUAAUUACCCGUGAGGCUUAACCAUACAACACCCAAGAAGUGUUCUG